Drosophila mojavensis is the source of this 1621-nucleotide long non-coding RNA. RefSeq lists it as uncharacterized. NCBI's taxonomy places the organism in Eukaryota, Metazoa, Arthropoda, Insecta, Diptera, Drosophilidae. The record is from RefSeq and is a predicted model, not a curated record. The transcript has 2 exons.
AACAGAAAUAUCUAGAUCGGUUCGAUUGAUUUAAUUCGUUCGAUUUAAUCGAAUAUCCUCUCAAACCGAUCAAUACUCUCUAUGCUCUUCGAUGCCUCUCAAGGCUUCUGCUGCCGAAUACAAAUUCAUAAAACUCGUCUGCUCUGAGUAACCAUUAUCAAUGACCGAGAAGACAAGUCAAGCAAUUGCCCUGCAUUAAAUUUCCUGUCCAAGACAAGGCAGCGUAUGGAGCAAUUAAUUUAUGCAAUACUACUAGUUCUUUAUUGACACAUGUUGCCCAUCAUAUGGUAAGCUUCGUUUCUUAUUAUUGACUUUGCAACACUGUUGCCACUGCUCAACCGCACUUCACAACACUAAUUGUCAGUCGAAGUGGUUGCAAUGCUGCUCAAGGCUCGAGCACUCAAGCUGCGCUGCUCAUUAAGAAUGCGCUCACAAUCAUAAGCAGACAGAGGCUGACCGCAAGAGAAGCGAACCUCAAGAAUCACCAUAAAGAUGGGUGUAUAAAAAUAAAAAGCUGAAUAAAUGAGAAGUUGUCGGUGUGACUGUGGCUGUGGAAGUGGGUGUUCGUGUGGGUGGCUAGAAAAUGCAAAGGCGAAACAACAGCAGGAGAAGGGCAGCCGCAGGAGCAGCAACAGCAGGAGCAGGAGCAGCAGCAGCAGCAGAUAAAAGGGCCUGGCAUAACAGCGAAACCAAUGAAAGGCACUCAACUGAAGAGGCCAAAAAGUGACUCACAGAGCGAGAGCCACAAUGCAAAAAGGAUGAACGGAAACGAAAAGAUUGACUGCAACUUGUGGCGCCUUUGUAGCAGACUGUUGUUGUUAAGAUUGUUGUUGUUGUUGUUGCACUUUUGCGUGGCCAAGUCCAGAGUGUGGCGAGCCCAUGCCAUUUCCCUUUGCCUUUUGCAAACAGCACUCAGCUCACUUCAAUGAAUACUUUAUGGGUUAAUAAUCGUAAAACCAUUCAACAGCAACAGCAACAGCAGCAGCAGCAACCACCGCCAACUACCUCCUCCACCAUCAAGGCGGGCAACAUCGUUUGGGCCAACUUUUGUGCGCGAAAAUUCAUAAACAAUGUGCAUAAAGCGCAAAAUGUAGCGCUUCUGCGAGCUGACCCCAAGGGGCAACUUUAUAGGUGUGCACUAUGUGUGGCUGCGGUGGGGCAAGCAGGGAGGGGCAGGCAGGUAAGGCAGGCGGGGCAAGUGGGGCCAGUGGAGUGCUGGUUAUGCGUUGCUCGUCGAUUGCUUGUCGCACUGCGCUGGCAAAUUGUGUGCCAGCUGCUGUUAUUGUUGUUGCUGUUAAGAGUGGAGUUUGGCAACAAUAGCAAAAGGCAGCUAUUGUUGUUGCUGUUGUUGUUGUUGUUGUUAUUUUGCAUACUGGACAGUUGAAUGAGUGGGUGAAGUGGCGGCUGGGUAGAUUUGGCGGACAGCUCAAUGGGACUUUCAGUUGAGCAACGCUUAGCGCACAGUUUGACGUUGAUUUUGUGUUCGAGGUGUUGUCAUUGUUGAUGUUAUUGGGUUGUUGUUGUUGUUGCCGUUUUGUUGUUGUUACUCCUUUGCGGAUUAUAAACUUGUACAGCACUUUAAUGACUAAAAUGGAUUAAAUAUGUGCCAUGUGCAAGGUGG